Non-coding RNA from Betaproteobacteria bacterium 13_1_40CM_4_64_4, 58 nucleotides. NCBI's taxonomy places the organism in Bacteria, Pseudomonadati, Pseudomonadota, Betaproteobacteria. The record is from Rfam.
CGGGGAUUGCGAGCAGACUCCCCGUUCUCCCAAGACGCUCUCCGCGUCCAAGCUCUGC